This 75-nucleotide transfer RNA is filed under the name marine sediment metagenome. It matches the Rfam family "tRNA". Rfam says of the family: Transfer RNA (tRNA) molecules are approximately 80 nucleotides in length. Their secondary structure includes four short double-helical elements and three loops (D, anti-codon, and T loops). The record is from RNAcentral.
GGGCCGUUAGCUCAGGGGUAGAGCACCUGACUUUUAAUCAGGGUGUCGAUGGUUCGAAACCAUCACGGCCUACCA